UACGUAGGGGGCAAGCGUUGUCCGGAUUUACUGGGUGUAAAGGGCGCGUAGGCGGGUUAGCAAGUCAGAGGUGAAAUCCUACAGCUUAACUGUAGAACUGCCUUUGAUACUGCUGAUCUUGAGUGCGGAAGAGAGAGACAGAAUUCCAGGUGUAGUGGUGAAAUACGUAGAUAUCUGGAAGAAUACCAGUUGCGAAGGCGGUCUCUUGGUCCGUAACUGACGCUCAGGCGCGAAAGCGUGGGGAGCAAACAGG
Molecule: ribosomal RNA, 253 nt
Filed under: uncultured bacterium
Lineage: Bacteria
Description: partial 16S ribosomal RNA
Rfam family: Bacterial small subunit ribosomal RNA
Source: RNAcentral